This 72-nucleotide transfer RNA is filed under the name Camelus bactrianus (Bactrian camel). It matches the Rfam family "tRNA". Rfam says of the family: Transfer RNA (tRNA) molecules are approximately 80 nucleotides in length. Their secondary structure includes four short double-helical elements and three loops (D, anti-codon, and T loops). Lineage: Eukaryota; Metazoa; Chordata; Mammalia; Artiodactyla; Camelidae. The record is from Rfam by way of RNAcentral. RNAcentral also lists the same sequence under 2 other names.
AGGGGGAUGGCUCAGUGGUAGGGCAAGUGCUUAGCAUGCUUAAGGGCCUGGGUUCAAUCCCCAGUACCUCCA